Molecule: ribosomal RNA, 999 nt
Filed under: Armatimonadota bacterium
Lineage: Bacteria; Bacillati; Armatimonadota
Description: bacterial SSU rRNA
Rfam family: Bacterial small subunit ribosomal RNA
Source: RNAcentral
CUGAUGGAGAGUUUGAUCCUGGCUCAGGACGAACGCUGGCGGCGUGGAUUAGGCAUGCAAGUCGCGCGACGGCAGGAUUUAUCCUGUACGGAGCGGCGAACGGGUGAGUAACACGUGAACAAUCUGUCCCGACGUUCCGGAUAAUUGGCCGAAAGGCCUUGUAAUACGGGCGAGGGUCGGAGUGGGGCUUCCCACUCCGAAGGAAGGUUAAGGCUUCGGCCUUAGCCGCGCGGGGAGGAGUUCGCGGCCUAUCAGUUAGUUGGUGGGGUAACGGCCUACCAAGACGACGACGGGUAGCUGGUCUGAGAGGAUGGUCAGCCACAUUGGGACUGAGACACUGCCCAGACUCCUACGGGAGGCUGCAGUCGAGAAUCUUGGGCAAUGCACGCAAGUGUGACCCAGCGACGCCGCGUGGAGGAUGAAGGCCCUUGGGUUGUAAACUCCUUUUAUGGGGGAAGAAGCUAUCUUUAUGAUAGUUGACGGUACCCCGUGAAUAAGCCACGGCUAACUACGUGCCAGCAGCCGCGGUAAUACGUAGGUGGCAAGCGUUGUCCGGAUUUACUGGGCGUAAAGGGUAUGCAGGCGGAGAUGUAAGUAGGAAGUGAAAGGUUGGGGCUCAACCCUAACACUGCUCCCUAUACUGGGCGCCUGGAGGGCCGGAGAGGACGAGGGAACGACCCGUGUAGCGGUGAAAUGCGUUGAGAUGGGUCGGAACACCUAUGGCGAAAGCACUCGUCUGGACGGUGGUUGAGGUUUAGCCUUGACCUUAAAUCUGACGCUGAGAUACGAAAGCCAAGGGAGCAAACAGGAUUAGAUACCCUGGUAGUCUUGGCCAUAAACGAUGUUCACUAGGUGUCGGGGUUUAUACCUCGGUGCCGCAGCUAACGCAUUAAGUGAACCGCCUGGGGACUACGGCCGCAAGGUUGAAACUCAAAGGAAUUGGCGGGGGCCCGCACAAGCGGUGGAGCAUGUGGCUUAAUUCGAUGCAACGCGAAGAAC